UGACUACUUACUAAGUCAGGACCAUGGAGG
Molecule: non-coding RNA, 30 nt
Filed under: Homo sapiens (human)
Lineage: Eukaryota; Metazoa; Chordata; Mammalia; Primates; Hominidae
Source: RNAcentral